Molecule: non-coding RNA, 2290 nt
Organism: Cucurbita pepo subsp. pepo (vegetable marrow)
Lineage: Eukaryota; Viridiplantae; Streptophyta; Magnoliopsida; Cucurbitales; Cucurbitaceae
Source: RefSeq, a predicted model, not a curated record
AGGAGUCUCUGAAAACGUCUCAGGAGUCUCUGAAGCUCAGAAUCCAUGGUCGUAAAGCCGCCGGACGACGAUUCAAAGAACGGGAAGCAAGUCGACGAUCCUAAUGCAAUCGAUUUGGACAUUGACAAGCAAGUCCUUGGCCUUCCUCUAUCAAGUCAGCCGUAUUCAACUUCUUCCUGAAUUUUUGAAGGCCCAGAGAAUAGCUGCAUCGGAUAUGAGGAGAAAUUGCUCUGUGGCUCUUGGCAAUGUCAACAUCAGUAAAAAUCGUUACACGGAUGUAUUAACCCUUUGAUGAGACUAGAGGCGUACUUGACUCUUGUAAGGAUUACAGACCUUCUGCAUGGGGUUAUAUCAAUGCAAGCUUUAUUUCCGUAAGUGCAACAAUUGAUGUGCUUCUACUUAGAUAAUAUUUCAGUACAAGUUCUCUUUUGACUUUCCUCUCCAUUGUCUAUUUGAAGAUUAGUUAUUACCACACACCUUACGAGGAUUUCUGGAUGCGAUUUCUCGUGUGGCUCCUCGGGGCUUUGUGUUUAUUUAUUUGCUGUUCUUGAGAAGUUCUUGGCUGUUCAACGCACCAAUGUUUCAUAUGAAUUUUGAAUUGUACAUUGUUGUAUCAAUAGUGCUACUGUUUGGGUGUGAAGACUUGGAGCUUCUUUCUGCAGAAGAGCUACAUACACCAAAUUCACUUCUUGUUAUUUUUAAUGGACGUAUCCUUGGCAAACAUCGGAGGCCUCAGGAGAAGAUAUUCUUGAACUCUAGUUUUUAUAGUUUACAUUCCAUUCUCUGUGUGAUUGAACUAUAGCAUGUUCGUUGAUUAAAAGUUUCCUACUGCCUACUUGUUUCACACUUGUCGGCUUCUCUUCCUUUAGUACUUUGCUACAGGUAUGAGAAUGCUGAGGAGAGCUGGAAAAAUUGGCGAGUUUGUCAAUGCCUUUGUGAAUGACAAGCAGGUUAUUCUCUUUUCUGCUCCUGUUCUCCUAUAACAAUGUGCCAGCCACUCUAGGUUUAUUCUUAUGGGACAAUGCUUCAGUAUAGUAUUUAGCACUUAUGGAUUGAGUCUGCUGUGUUUUUUAACUAGUUUUAAUUUGGACAUCUACUGUUACAUUCAAUCUAACUCAUUCUACAGAAGAAAUUCAAGCUCUGGUCAAUGAGCUUGUAUAUGACAAUGUUUCAUAAUAUUUCAGCACAAGAAGUAGAAAGUUUGCAAUUUUUUGCAGUGGAAAUGUGACUUCCCUCAUAUUCAUGUUUACAUGUAAUUGAGACAAUACUUUCAUGAGACCAUGUUCAUACUUGAACGGGAAAUGAUUUCCAUCUUCAUUUGAUAUUUAUUGCACUUGCAAACCACUAAGCCUGUGUGAGAAUGUAUCAACACUGUGUUUAUAAUUGCUUCUGAUGGAGGACGAGUUUGUCGUCCACUUGUCAUUGCUGACAAAGGUGUAUCGAGAAUUAAAGAAUAGACUCAUCGGUAAGGCACAUUCAACUGCUGCUAGCGUUUGUGUUUACUUUGCAUCAAACCUUCAGAGUUGUUAUUGAAAAUAUAUUUUUUGGUCACUUUCUCCUUUUUUUUUUUCGGGGAUGAAGUCUGUACAUUUGAUGAUUAUUUACGGGAAGGUUUAAUCGAGUAUCUUGAUGUAAACGAGGAGAAUAAUGCUUUGGUAUGUUUACAACUGAAUUGUCUGAUGUUCUUUGAUUAUGAUACAAAAACACACAAAGUGCAUCUUUUUCAGACUGCUUUGUAUGAAGGAGAAGCUACACCUGAAACAACUCAUAUUGAGAUCGAGCCCUUUACCAUAUUUUAAACAAUCGGUAUUCUGUGACUGCUACAGCUAUAGUUUAAAGGUAUUCUUCCAUGGUUUUGCAGGCUUUUGGAUGUAAGAAUUGGCGAGCCUUCUGACCGUGAAUGCUGUCAGUGAAUCUAUUAGUUCUCAUAUGUGCCGCGCUUAUCUGACCUUACUUACAGAAAGAUGUGGUGAUUGGGAGGAUUCCUAUAUGCUAUGAAAACGUUGCUGUGCUUUACGCGAUUUCAGUGUCUCCAAUUGUAUAAUUCUUUGAAUGUUAUCAGUGAAUCUAUUAGUUCUCAUAUGCGCUGCUUAUCUGACCUCGCGUAUGGUUCCUUGGUGAAUGUUAUUAUUAUUUAGUUGAAUACUGCAGAAAGACGGUGGUGGUGGUGAUUGGGAGGAGGAUGCCUCUAUGCUAUGAAGACUUUGUUGUGUUUUAUGUGACUUUGUUGUGUUUUAUGUGAUUUUGUUGUUUUAUGUGAUUUCAAAGUCUCCAAUUAUCUAGUUCUUCG